GACGAACGCGGGCGGCGUGCCUAAUACAUGCAAGUAGAACGCUGAAGAGAGGAGCUUGCUCUUCUUGGAUGAGUUGCGAACGGGUGAGUAACGCGUAGGUAACCUGCCUGGUAGCGGGGGAUAACUAUUGGAAACGAUAGCUAAUACCGCAUGACAUUGAUUAUCGCAUGAUAAUUAAUUGAAAGAUGCAAUUGCAUCACUACCAGAUGGACCUGCGUUGUAUUAGCUAGUUGGUGAGGUAACGGCUCACCAAGGCGACGAUACAUAGCCGACCUGAGAGGGUGAUCGGCCACACUGGGACUGAGACACGGCCCAGACUCCUACGGGAGGCAGCAGUAGGGAAUCUUCGGCAAUGGGGGGAACCCUGACCGAGCAACGCCGCGUGAGUGAAGAAGGUUUUCGGAUCGUAAAGCUCUGUUGUAAGAGAAGAACGGGUGUGAGAGUGAA
This 447-nucleotide ribosomal RNA is filed under the name Streptococcus sanguinis. Its description in RNAcentral is "bacterial SSU rRNA". It matches the Rfam family "Bacterial small subunit ribosomal RNA", at positions 28 to 464 of the family's 1533-position model. Lineage: Bacteria; Bacillati; Bacillota; Bacilli; Lactobacillales; Streptococcaceae. The record is from RNAcentral.